This 548-nucleotide ribosomal RNA is filed under the name Bacillus sp. 1934. RNAcentral describes it as "bacterial SSU rRNA". It matches the Rfam family "Bacterial small subunit ribosomal RNA", at positions 937 to 1484 of the family's 1533-position model. The record is from RNAcentral. Lineage: Bacteria; Bacillati; Bacillota; Bacilli; Caryophanales; Bacillaceae.
GCAUGUGGUUUAAUUCGAAGCAACGCGAAGAACCUUACCAGGUCUUGACAUCCUCUGACAACCCUAGAGAUAGGGCUUUCCCCUUCGGGGGACAGAGUGACAGGUGGUGCAUGGUUGUCGUCAGCUCGUGUCGUGAGAUGUUGGGUUAAGUCCCGCAACGAGCGCAACCCUUGAUCUUAGUUGCCAGCAUUCAGUUGGGCACUCUAAGAUGACUGCCGGUGACAAACCGGAGGAAGGUGGGGAUGACGUCAAAUCAUCAUGCCCCUUAUGACCUGGGCUACACACGUGCUACAAUGGACGGUACAAAGGGCAGCAAGACCGCGAGGUUUAGCCAAUCCCAUAAAACCGUUCUCAGUUCGGAUUGUAGGCUGCAACUCGCCUACAUGAAGCUGGAAUCGCUAGUAAUCGCGGAUCAGCAUGCCGCGGUGAAUACGUUCCCGGGCCUUGUACACACCGCCCGUCACACCACGAGAGUUUGUAACACCCGAAGUCGGUGAGGUAACCUUUUGGAGCCAGCCGCCUAAGGUGGGACAGAUGAUUGGGGUGAA